UACAGAGGUCCCAAGCGUUGUUCGGAUUCACUGGGCGUAAAGGGUGCGUAGGUGGCAGGGUAAGUUUGAUGUGAAAUCUCCGGGCUUAACCCGGAAACUGCAUUGAAUACUAUCUUGCUCGAGGUUUGGAGGGGGACUGGAAUUCUCGGUGUAGCAGUGAAAUGCGUAGAUAUCGAGAGGAACACCAGUGGCGAAGGCGAGUCCCUGGACAACACCUGACACUGAGGCACGAAAGCUAGGGGAGCAAACAGG
RNAcentral lists this ribosomal RNA (252 nucleotides) under uncultured bacterium. RNAcentral's name for it is "partial 16S ribosomal RNA". It matches the Rfam family "Bacterial small subunit ribosomal RNA", at positions 524 to 776 of the family's 1533-position model. The record is from RNAcentral.